RNAcentral lists this ribosomal RNA (424 nucleotides) under uncultured bacterium. RNAcentral describes it as "partial 16S ribosomal RNA". It matches the Rfam family "Bacterial small subunit ribosomal RNA", at positions 354 to 796 of the family's 1533-position model. The record is from RNAcentral.
GUAGGGAAUCUUGCGCAAUGGGCGAAAGCCUGACGCAGCCAUGCCGCGUGAAUGAUGAAGGUCUUAGGAUUGUAAAAUUCUUUCACCGGGGACGAUAAUGACGGUACCCGGAGAAGAAGCCCCGGCUAACUUCGUGCCAGCAGCCGCGGUAAUACGAAGGGGGCUAGCGUUGCUCGGAAUUACUGGGCGUAAAGGGAGCGUAGGCGGAUAGUUUAGUCAGAGGUGAAAGCCCAGGGCUCAACCUUGGAAUUGCCUUUGAUACUGGCUAUCUUGAGUAUGGAAGAGGUAUGUGGAACUCCGAGUGUAGAGGUGAAAUUCGUAGAUAUUCGGAAGAACACCAGUGGCGAAGGCGACAUACUGGUCCAUUACUGACGCUGAGGCUCGAAAGCGUGGGGAGCAAACAGGAUUAGAAACCCGUGUGUCC